UAUGAGUGAUGAUGUAAAACCCAACCAGAAGUCUCACUGUGUCUCCUCUACUGAGUCGGACAUAAAUGAUGUUUUAAAGGGAGGGGAGUAAAGAAGGAGGAGCAGUGAAACAAUCCUCUUUUUAACCGUUGUGCUCGUUUCAUUUCAGAUGCAUACUCGAGCUGAGUCCGUUUUUGUGUUGUAUCAAGUAUCUGACUGUAUAAAGCAGCAGUUAAACUGAGGACAUAAUGACCACAGGCUUGCUUCUUCUUCUCCUGGUGCUUUCUGGUUCUCAGGCAUCCCAUUACUUUGGGACAGUGAUGACCUUUACCCCUAAAGAAAGCACGGAUGAUGGAUCUCUAAGGGUGGUCUUUGACUACAAGUUGAGCUUUCGCUCAUGCACAGAUGAAGACAAGUGGAAAUGUGCCAGCGGUGACUGUGGUAGUGAGAGUGUGGAGCUGAACAUCGUGGAUGAAGAGGACAGAGAGUGGUGUCAGAGGGAAGGAGUCAUGACUCGGGAGGUUUCCAGCAACUCUCUGUUUCAGCUAAGUUUGGCUGGUGGUAACUGGAUUAACAACAAAAAUGGUAUUGGUAACUGGAAAGCUAUAACUCAGGUGGAUCUGAGGACUCGAUCUGACACAGCUCAACCCAACAAAUCACCUCAGACCACCAUCCUGCCAGCUCUGAGGGUUUCAAAGCUUUUGUUCAGUGGACCACACAGCGUUGUGAAACAUGUUGUAUCACAUGGAGAAUUCAUCCUGACCUGGACACCAUCUGACAGUGAAGAUGAAGAAAACCAUCCCAUCUGCUUCGUACUCCAGGCAGAGUUAAAUACAGCCAAGUAUCACUCUGAGCUACGCUGUGUGAUUGUGAGCAUUCAAAUUAGACCAAUCACCACUCCUCUGCCAACAACUGUUCUGCCUUCAACCACCCCAGAACAUACAACCACUCUUCUGUUCAUAAAUGAAACAGAAGAUCUGAACGAGGUGCUAUAUGAGUCCACAGGAUCAGGUGACGACAGCAUGGGUGCUGGCAAAGUUGUUGGUAUUGUAUUUGGUGUUGGAGCCGUCGCAGCCAUUGUUGGCAUUGCCUUGUGGGCUUUAAAUCGAAGUUCUCCUGUGCUCUAAAAAAGUUGGAGCUUUGGAUGAAGAUGGGGAAAACAAACCUGUAGAAUCUGGAAAUCACUGGUCUUCUAGCUACUUUCAGCUGCUCGCUUCUUGCGUCCCAUUCCAAUUUCUACAAAUGUAAAUGUUAAAUAAUGCAGGUCUGCAUUUUACUGUCAAAGCCUCACAUAAAUGGUCAAUGAACUGUUUUGAGUCUUUGGCUCCAUCUGUUGGUGAAAUGAUGGCAUUAAUGUACAAGGUUGUUCAUUAAAGCUACAGGCAGACUCCCCCAUGCAGGUGACUCUGUUUUAUCAGAGAAAAAUUUAAAUACUGGCAAAAGGAAAUAUCUACAGAGACAACAUGUGAAAGUAAAACAUCAUGCGUGAGAGCUAAAAACCUCAAAAAAUAUGAAAAUUUUCAACCAACAUGGUACAAAAUGUAGUGUUGUAAGAGGGCGGGUAUUUCUCACCACUGUGGUUUUUUCGUUAGUCGAUCUUCGCUGACAACAUUUUUAUGUUGGACAUUCUAAACCAUAAUCCUAAUCCCAAAUUGGCUCACAGUUGUUAAAAAAAAUAAACAAUAAAAAAAUUAUUUUAUUUACGAUACCAGAUACCAGCUCUCCCUCCACUCACCCCUAAUUGAUUGCAGCAAUGGGAAGCCCUCCCAGAGCCUGGAUCUGCUGGAGGUUUCUUCCUGUUAAAAACAUGUUUUUCUUUCCACUUUCACCAAGUGCUUGCUCAUAAGGGGUCAUCUGAUUGUUGGGGUUUAUCUGUAUUAUUGUAGGGUCUCUACCUUACACACCUUGAGGCACCUGUUCUUGUGAUGCUAUAUAAAUAAAAAUGAAUUGAACUGAACAGAAUACCAGAUCAUAUUAGAUGUUUGAAAUGAGGAAAUGAACCAUUUCAUGUUGGCCUUAACAAGAUCUUUCUAUUCCCUGUGUGAACUUCUUUGUCAUUUUUUUGGAUUUGUUAUCGGUAUCUCUUUAAAAAAAAAUACACAGAUAAUUUUGGAUUUUGGAUUCUCAGCUGAUUAACACAUUUACAUGUUAUGGCAACAUUGAUGUCUGUCAGUAUCCUAAGACUCACAGUAGUCCCUGUUGAACUGUUAUCAACAGGAGCUUUUCAUUUAGCAACUCCUUGACUGCAUUUUAUGACAAUGACCUUUGAAUCUAUGUUAUUGGUUUCCUUAUUUAUUCAGUGUUCAGUGC
Molecule: long non-coding RNA, 2289 nt
Organism: Astatotilapia calliptera (eastern happy)
Lineage: Eukaryota; Metazoa; Chordata; Actinopteri; Cichliformes; Cichlidae
Source: Ensembl